ACUUUGCGCAAUGGAGGGAACUCUGACGCAGCGACGCAGCGUGAGCGAUGAAGGUCUUCGGAUCGUAAAGCUCUGUCCUUUGGGAAGAAGAUCUUCGGAUUUGACGGUACCCAAGGAGGAAGCACCGGCUAACUACGUGCCAGCAGCCCCGGUAACACGUAGGGGGCAAGCGUUGUCCGGAAUUAUUGGGCGUAAAGGGUGCGUAGGCGAACUUUUAAGUCAGAUGUGGAAGGCCACGGCUUAACCGUGGGGUUGCAUUUGAAACUGGAGGGCUUGAGUAUCGGAGAGGGUAGUGGGAUUCGCAGUGUAGCGGUGGAAUGCGUAGAUAUUGGGAGGAACACCAGUGGCGAAGGCGACUACCUGGACGAAAACUGACGCUGAUGCACGAAAGCUAGGGGAGCAAACA
This 406-nucleotide ribosomal RNA is filed under the name uncultured bacterium. RNAcentral describes it as "partial 16S ribosomal RNA". It matches the Rfam family "Bacterial small subunit ribosomal RNA", at positions 361 to 774 of the family's 1533-position model. The record is from RNAcentral.